RNAcentral lists this ribosomal RNA (495 nucleotides) under uncultured bacterium. RNAcentral describes it as "partial 16S ribosomal RNA". It matches the Rfam family "Bacterial small subunit ribosomal RNA", at positions 28 to 507 of the family's 1533-position model. The record is from RNAcentral.
GACGAACGCUGGCGGCGCGCCUAAUACAUGCAAGUCGAACGCUGAAGGAGGAGCUUGCUCUUCUGGAUGAGUUGCGAACGGGUGAGUAACGCGUAGGUAACCUGCCUGGUAGCGGGGGAUAACUAUUGGAAACGAUAGCUAAUACCGCAUAAGAGUAGAUGUUGCAUGACAUUUACUUAAAAGGUGCAAUUGCAUCACUACCAGAUGGACCUGCGUUGUAUUAGCUAGUUGGUGGGGUAACGGCUUACCAAGGCGACGAUACAUAGCCGACCUGAGAGGGUGAUCGGCCACACUGGGACUGAGACACGGCCCAGACUCCUACGGGAGGCAGCAGUAGGGAAUCUUCGGCAAUGGACGGAAGUCUGACCGAGCAACGCCGCGUGAGUGAAGAAGGUUUUCGGAUCGUAAAGCUCUGUUGUAAGAGAAGAACGAGUGUGAGAGUGGAAAGUUCACACUGUGACGGUAUCUUACCAGAAAGGGACGGCUAACUACGUG